RNAcentral lists this ribosomal RNA (342 nucleotides) under uncultured bacterium. RNAcentral describes it as "bacterial SSU rRNA". It matches the Rfam family "Bacterial small subunit ribosomal RNA", at positions 18 to 344 of the family's 1533-position model. The record is from RNAcentral.
CAUGGCUCAGGACGAACGCUGGCGGCGUGCCUAAUACAUGCAAGUCGAACGAACCGCGACUGAGUGCUUGCACUUGGUCAAGGUGAGUGGCGAACGGGUGAGUAACACGUGGGUAACCUACCUCAUAGUGGGGGAUAACAGUCGGAAACGACUGCUAAUACCGCAUAGGACAUGGGAUCACAUGAUUCCGUGAGGAAAGGUGGCGCAAGCUAUCGCUAAGAGAUGGACCCGCGGUGCAUUAGCUAGUUGGUAGGGUAACGGUCUACCAAGGCAAUGAUGCAUCGCCGACCUGAGCGGGUGAUCGUCCACAUUGGGACUGCGACAUGUCCCAAACUCCUACGG